GGUUAUGGCUCAGUGGUAGAGUGCUUGCCUUGCAUGUGUGAGGCACUGGGUUCGAUUCUCAGCACCA
This 67-nucleotide transfer RNA is filed under the name Marmota monax (woodchuck). RNAcentral describes it as "tRNA.Ala". The record is from RNAcentral. Lineage: Eukaryota; Metazoa; Chordata; Mammalia; Rodentia; Sciuridae.